GCGGCCUAUCAGCUUGUUGGUGAGGUAAAGGCUCACCAAGGCGACGACGGGUAGCCGGCCUGAGAGGGCGACCGGCCACACUGGGACUGAGACACGGCCCAGACUCCUACGGGAGGCAGCAGUGGGGAAUAUUGGGCAAUGGAGGAAACUCUGACCCAGCGACGCCGCGUGAGGGAUGAAGGCCUUCGGGUUGUAAACCUCUUUCAGUAGGGAAGAAGCGAAAGUGACGGUACCUAAAGAAGAAGCACCGGCUAACUAUGUGCCAGCAGCCGCGGUAAUACAUAGGGCGCAAGCGUUGUCCGGAAUUAUUGGGCGUAAAGAGCUCGUAGGUCGUUUGUCGCGUCGAUUGUGAAAAUCUGAGGCUCAACCUCAGACCUGCAGUCGAUACGGGCAAACUAAAGUGUGGUAGGGGAGACUGGAAUUCCU
Molecule: ribosomal RNA, 426 nt
Filed under: uncultured Actinomycetes bacterium
Lineage: Bacteria; Bacillati; Actinomycetota; Actinomycetes
Description: bacterial SSU rRNA
Rfam family: Bacterial small subunit ribosomal RNA
Source: RNAcentral